UACGGAGGGUGCAAGCGUUAUCCGGAUUCACUGGGUUUAAAGGGUGCGUAGGUGGGCAGGUAAGUCAGUGGUGAAAUCUCCGGGCUUAACUCGGAAACUGCCAUUGAUACUAUCUGUCUUGAAUACCGUGGAGGUCAGCGGAAUAUGUCAUGUAGCGGUGAAAUGCUUAGAUAUGACAUAGAACACCAAUUGCGAAGGCAGCUGGCUACACGAAUAUUGACACUGAUGCACGAAAGCGUGGGGACCAAACAGG
RNAcentral lists this ribosomal RNA (253 nucleotides) under uncultured bacterium. Its description in RNAcentral is "partial 16S ribosomal RNA". It matches the Rfam family "Bacterial small subunit ribosomal RNA", at positions 524 to 776 of the family's 1533-position model. The record is from RNAcentral.